This 290-nucleotide long non-coding RNA is filed under the name Brassica napus (rape). Its description in RNAcentral is "long non-coding RNA (BNAP_LNC017239)". The record is from RNAcentral. Lineage: Eukaryota; Viridiplantae; Streptophyta; Magnoliopsida; Brassicales; Brassicaceae.
UAGGGCAGUCAUUUGUUCCCGCCGGUGCAGCUUCUGGUACAACUGGCUCUACUGUUGGAGUUGGGAUUUCAGCUUCCAGUCAGUUGACCCAGCGUCAGUCUCAGCCAUCCCAGCCCCAACCUCAACACCAACCGCAGCCCCAACCUCGCCACCAACCCCAUCCCCAGCCCCAACCUCAGCAUCAUCCCCGGCCCCAACCCCACCACCAACCCCAGCCCCGACCCCAACACCAACCCCACUACCAGCCCCAAUCCCCCUGGCCGAAAAUGACUCCAGCUGAUGUCCAGAAA